UACGUAGGGGGCAAGCGUUGUCCGGAAUUAUUGGGCGUAAAGAGCUCGUAGGCGGUCUGUUGCGUCGGCUGUGAAAACCCGGGGCUCAACUCCGGGCCUGCAGCCGAGUACGGGCAGACUAGAGUUCGGCAGGGGAGACUGGAAUUCCUGGUGUAGCGGUGAAAUGCGCAGAUAUCAAGAGGAACACCUGAGGUGAAGACGGGUUGCUGGGCCGACACUGACGCUGAGUGCGCGAAAGCCAGGGGAGCAAACGGG
This 255-nucleotide ribosomal RNA is filed under the name uncultured bacterium. Its description in RNAcentral is "partial 16S ribosomal RNA". It matches the Rfam family "Bacterial small subunit ribosomal RNA", at positions 524 to 776 of the family's 1533-position model. The record is from RNAcentral.